CGGAGUGGCACAUUCUGCGGCCUUUUGAGGCCAAAGGGAGCAGGAAGAAGAGAGACUUCCUGUAAGGAGGAAUCUCAAUGAUGAACAGCUCAAAAGGGGCCGUUAGAACAAUACACGUGCAGAG
This 124-nucleotide long non-coding RNA is filed under the name Mustela putorius furo (domestic ferret). RNAcentral's name for it is "lncRNA (ENSMPUG00000027164.1)". The record is from RNAcentral. Lineage: Eukaryota; Metazoa; Chordata; Mammalia; Carnivora; Mustelidae.